Molecule: ribosomal RNA, 422 nt
Filed under: uncultured bacterium
Lineage: Bacteria
Description: bacterial SSU rRNA
Rfam family: Bacterial small subunit ribosomal RNA
Source: RNAcentral
GAGGAAUAUUGGUCAAUGGGCGGAAGCCUGAACCAGCCAUCCCGCGUGAAGGAAGGCGGCCCUAUGGGUUGUAAACUUCUUUAGUACAUGAAGAACAGGAUCUACGCGUAGGUUUAUGUCGGUAAUGUACAAAAAAGCAUCGGCUAACUCCGUGCCAGCAGCCGCGGUAAUACGGAGGAUGCGAGCGUUAUCCGGAUUCAUUGGGUUUAAAGGGUACGUAGGUGGCCCUGUAAGUCAGUGGUGAAAAUCUGCCGCUUAACGGUAGGGGUGCCAAUGAUACUGCGGGGCUUGAGUACAGUUGAGGUAGGUGGAAUGUGUAGUGUAGCGGUGAAAUGCAUAGAUAUUACACAGAACUCCGAUUGCGAAGGCAUCUUACUAAGCUGAAACUGACACUGAUGUACGAAAGCGUGGGGAUCGAACAG